CUUGAAAGCUAGGGGUUUAUAAACAAAACUCUUACAAAAGACCAAGUCCUUUAUGAAGAAUAUUCCUUUAAUGUCAAUGAGGUAAUAAUAGAACAAUCAAGUCUAGGAAAGUGAUGGUUAACCUUUUAGAGACUGAGUGUCAUGCCUCAUCUCCAGAGACUGUGUGCUGUGCCCUACCCCCCCCGGGGUGCCAGGUAUCCAUGGUAUUAGGCUCUCUUUGCCUGAAGGUCUUGGAUGGGAGAGAACCAUUUAUCUCUGUACCUGAUCUUCUUCCAUUGUUUAAAUUGAACCAUGACUUUCUGACUUUAUCUUUGACACUAGCUACAUUUAUUAAGAUACAGAACACCUCUCUAGUUAGAUGUGUGCCUCAAACAGUCUAAAACUGACUAACAUUCGACCUUUUGUCUGCUCUGACCCAUGAGUAACUAACCUAUUUCACUGUAUAGUUUUGUGAUCUGCCUCAGGCCAGCAGAGUGAUUGCAAAGUUGAAUUUAUAAUAGUUUAGAUAUUUCACAAGAUGCUAAAAAAGGGUUUUAUUUCAUUUUUUCUGUUUAAAUGAGAUAGUUUAAGGUAUCAGAUUUAAGAAUAUUAUUUUGUACAUGGUUAGGGAAUCAUUUUAGAAAGCUAGGAAAUAAAACAUUUAAUCACCAAGCA
Molecule: long non-coding RNA, 654 nt
Filed under: Monodelphis domestica (gray short-tailed opossum)
Lineage: Eukaryota; Metazoa; Chordata; Mammalia; Didelphimorphia; Didelphidae
Description: lncRNA (ENSMODG00000036047.2)
Source: RNAcentral